UGUGGGUGGGAAGGACUGGAUU
RNAcentral lists this microRNA (22 nucleotides) under Homo sapiens (human). RNAcentral describes it as "hsa-miR-6748-5p". The record is from miRBase by way of RNAcentral. Lineage: Eukaryota; Metazoa; Chordata; Mammalia; Primates; Hominidae.